This 896-nucleotide ribosomal RNA is filed under the name Euphysa aurata. Its description in RNAcentral is "12S ribosomal RNA". The stretch from base 461 to 875 matches the Rfam family "Microsporidia small subunit ribosomal RNA", at positions 752 to 1303 of the family's 1311-position model. The record is from RNAcentral. Lineage: Eukaryota; Metazoa; Cnidaria; Hydrozoa; Anthoathecata; Corymorphidae.
AUUUCUUUUGAUUAUGGAGAAGCAAAAAUUAAGUAAUCAUUUAUACAUGUUAGUGAAAGCAUAUAAAUGAGUAAAUUAUAGUAAUACUAUUAUUAUAUCAGGAGAAAAUAUUUAAUUAAUAUAUUAACCUAAGACGUAAAGCAAAAGCCAUGUUUUUACUGAAACAAAGAAAAAUUUUACAGCAGUAAAGAAUUUUAUACAAUUAAUGAUAAUUAGAUAUAGGGAAAUCUUUUAGUUUUGUCAAAUUAUGUGCCAGCAGACGCGGUAAUACAUAUGAAACAAAUUUUUGUCAAUAAAUAGGAAAAUGUGUAAUUAAAAAAAAAUAAAAUAAGAAUUUUUAAUUUGGUAAAAUAAAUAAAAAUUUAGAAAUUAUGUUUUAUUAAAUAAUUUGAAACAUGAGAAAAAGAAAAAUAAAUAGGAUUAGAUACCCUAGUAAUCUUUUUAUAAAUUAUUUAAACCUGAACAGUACGUCUUAAGGAUAAAAAUCAAAUAAUUUGGUUGUUUAUUAUCUAAUUAGAGGAGUAUGUAAUUUAAUUCGAUAAUCCGCGAAAAACCUUACUUUUUAUUGAAUUAUCAGGUGUUGCAUGGUUGUUUUCAGCUUUAAUUUAAAAUUAUUGCUUAAUCCUUUAUAGGAUGAAUUCAAAUAUUAUGACCCUAAUUAAAAAGGGUAUUAUGUACUACAAUAAAUAUUAUAAUUUAAAUAUAUUUUUGAAUAAUUAAUGAAAUUUAAUUUAAAAGAGGAUUUAAUAGUAAUUAAAGAAAUAAUGCUUUAAUGAAUUAGUUAAAAUAUGAAUACAAAUAGCCCGUCGCCUUUUUUGAUUUAACCAAAAAAAAAGUAAGUCGUAACAUAGUGGGGGAAAGGGAACUUUUCCCUGUGGAUUAAUACCCAAUAAAAA